CCUACGGGAGGCAGCAGUGAGGAAUAUUGGUCAAUGGGCGAGAGCCUGAACCAGCCAAGUCGCGUGAAGGAUGACGGUCCUACGGGUUGUAAACUUCUUCUGUCAGGGAGCAAUUGGGCUCACGCGUUGGCUUAGCGAGAGUACCUGAAGAAAAAGCAUCGGCUAACUCCGUGCCAGCAGCCGCGGUCAUACGGAGGAGGCGAGCGUUAUCCGGAUUUAUUGGGUUUAAAGGGUGCGUAGGCGGAAUAUCAAGUCAGCGGUAAAAAUUCGGGGCCCAACCACGUCGUGCCGUUGAAACUGAUGUUCUGGAGUGGGCGAGAGGUAUGCGGAAUGCGUGGUGUAGCGGUGAAAUGCGUAGAUA
RNAcentral lists this ribosomal RNA (361 nucleotides) under uncultured bacterium. RNAcentral describes it as "partial 16S ribosomal RNA". It matches the Rfam family "Bacterial small subunit ribosomal RNA", at positions 338 to 696 of the family's 1533-position model. The record is from RNAcentral.